RNAcentral lists this ribosomal RNA (253 nucleotides) under uncultured bacterium. RNAcentral describes it as "partial 16S ribosomal RNA". It matches the Rfam family "Bacterial small subunit ribosomal RNA", at positions 524 to 776 of the family's 1533-position model. The record is from RNAcentral.
CACGUAGGGCGCAAGCGUUGUCCGGAAUUAUUGGGCGUAAAGAGCUCGUAGGCGGUCCGUCACGUCCGCUGUGAAAACCCAGGGCUCAACCCUGGGCUUGCAGUGGAUACGGGCAGACUAGAGGUAGGUAGGGGAGAAUGGAAUUCCCGGUGUAGCGGUGAAAUGCGCAGAUAUCUGGAGGAACACCGGUGGCGAAGGCGGCAUCCUGGACCAAUUCUGACGCUGAGGAGCGAAAGCCAGGGGAGCAAACGGG